This 1514-nucleotide ribosomal RNA is filed under the name uncultured bacterium. RNAcentral's name for it is "bacterial SSU rRNA". It matches the Rfam family "Bacterial small subunit ribosomal RNA". The record is from RNAcentral.
GGUAGAGUUUGAUCCUGGCUCAGAUUGAACGCUGGCGGCAUGCCUUACACAUGCAAGUCGAACGGCAGCGCGGGAGGGGGCAACCCCAACUGGCGGCGAGUGGCGAACGGGUGAGUAAUAUAUCGGAACGUGCCCUGGAGUGGGGGAUAACGCAGCGAAAGUUGCGCUAAUACCGCAUACGAUCUAAGGAUGAAAGCAGGGGACCGCAAGGCCUUGUGCUCCUGGAGCGGCCGAUAUCUGAUUAGCUAGUUGGUGGGGUAAAGGCCUACCAAGGCAUCGAUCAGUAGCUGGUCUGAGAGGACGACCAGCCACACUGGAACUGAGACACGGUCCAGACUCCUACGGGAGGCAGCAGUGGGGAAUUUUGGACAAUGGGCGCAAGCCUGAUCCAGCAAUGCCGCGUGAGUGAAGAAGGCCUUCGGGUUGUAAAGCUCUUUUGUCAGGGAAGAAACGGCACGCUCUAAUACAGUGUGCUAAUGACGGUACCUGAAGAAUAAGCACCGGCUAACUACGUGCCAGCAGCCGCGGUAAUACGUAGGGUGCAAGCGUUAAUCGGAAUUACUGGGCGUAAAGCGUGCGCAGGCGGUUUUGUAAGUUUGUCGUGAAAUCCCCGGGCUCAACCUGGGAAUGGCGAUGAAGACUGCAAGGCUAGAAUCUGGCAGAGGGGGGUAGAAUUCCACGUGUAGCAGUGAAAUGCGUAGAGAUGUGGAGGAACACCGAUGGCGAAGGCAGCCCCCUGGGUCAAGAUUGACGCUCAUGCACGAAAGCGUGGGGAGCAAACAGGAUUAGAUACCCUGGUAGUCCACGCCCUAAACGAUGUCUACUAGUUGUCGGGUUUUAAUUAACUUGGUAACGCAGCUAACGCGUGAAGUAGACCGCCUGGGGAGUACGGUCGCAAGAUUAAAACUCAAAGGAAUUGACGGGGACCCGCACAAGCGGUGGAUGAUGUGGAUUAAUUCGAUGCAACGCGAAAAACCUUACCUACCCUUGACAUGGCUGGAAAUUGCUGAGAGAUCGGUGAGUGCCCGAAAGGGAGCCAGUACACAGGUGCUGCAUGGCUGUCGUCAGCUCGUGUCGUGAGAUGUUGGGUUAAGUCCCGCAACGAGCGCAACCCUUGUCAUUAGUUGCUACGAAAGAGCACUCUAAUGAGACUGCCGGUGACAAACCGGAGGAAGGUGGGGAUGACGUCAAGUCCUCAUGGCCCUUAUGGGUAGGGCUUCACACGUCAUACAAUGGUACAUACAGAGGGCCGCCAACCCGCGAGGGGGAGCUAAUCCCAGAAAGUGUAUCGUAGUCCGGAUUGCAGUCUGCAACUCGACUGCAUGAAGUUGGAAUCGCUAGUAAUCGCGGAUCAGCAUGUCGCGGUGAAUACGUUCCCGGGUCUUGUACACACCGCCCGUCACACCAUGGGAGCGGGUUUUACCAGAAGUAGGUAGCUUAACCUGAUGGAAACUGAAGGAGGGCGCUUACCACGGUAGGAUUCGUGACUGGGGUGAAGUCGUAACAAGGUAACC